AUGGCCGAGCCUCUGAUAACCAACGGCAAUGGAGCUGCUGAAGGGGGUGCUGCGGGCUCUGCGUUUGCGUCGGUGAAGGUGCCGCCACCGUCGCCGCCGAGGAGGCUGCAGAGGUUCGACUCCCUGCAUAUGGAGGCCGGGAAGAUUCCUGGCGGCCACAGCUAUGCGGCCAAGCAGGUUGGCUGGGCGACGACACUGCACUUGGCCUUCCAGAGCCUAGGUGUGGUUUAUGGGGACAUGGGAACUUCACCCCUCUAUGUGUUCUCCAGCACCUUUACUGGUGGGAUCAAGGACACAGAUGACCUCCUUGGUGUCAUGUCCCUGAUUAUCUAUACUGUGCUUCUCCUUCCAUUGAUGAAAUACUGCUUCAUUGUCUUGAGAGCUAAUGACAACGGCGAUGGCGGAACAUUUGCACUUUAUUCCUUGAUAUCUCGGUAUGCUAGGAUUAGCUUGAUACCAAACCAGCAGGCUGAAGAUGCAACAGUCUCUCACUACAAGUUAGAGUCCCCCACGAAUCGUGUCAAGCGGGCUCAUUGGAUUAAGGAAAAGAUGGAAAACAGCCCGAAAUUUAAGGUCAUACUUUUCCUAGUGACAAUUCUAGCAACAUCAAUGGUUAUUGGUGACGGUGUGCUCACUCCAUGUAUUUCAGUGCUUAGUGCAGUUACGGGAAUCAAGCAAUCAGCAAAGUCGUUAACUCAAGGACAAAUUGCUGGCAUCGCAAUCGGCAUUCUGAUCGUCCUCUUUCUUGUCCAGCGCUUUGGCACAGACAAAGUUGGUUACACAUUUGGCCCAGUAAUCUUUAUAUGGUUCAUCUUAAUUGCCGGCAUUGGGAUUUAUAAUUUGAUCAAACAUGAUACUGGAAUUCUGAAAGCAUUCAACCCACAAUACAUAGUGGAAUAUUUCCAAAGAAAUGGGAAGGACGGCUGGAUUUCGCUUGGAGGUGUUAUCUUAUGCAUUACAGGAACCGAAGCAAUGUUUGCUGACCUUGGUCACUUCAAUGUGAGAGCAGUUCAGAUUGGCUUUUCUGCAGUUCUGCUCCCAUCAGUAUUGCUUGCUUACAUGGGUCAGGCUGCAUAUCUUCGCAUCCACCCUGAAGAUGUUGCAGAUACAUUCUACAAAUCAAUCCCAGGUCCAUUAUAUUGGCCAACAUUUGUGGUGGCCGUGGCUGCUGCUAUAAUUGCAAGCCAAGCUAUGAUUUCUGGUGCCUUUGCAAUCAUUGCUCAGUCCCAAGUUCUUGGUUGCUUUCCACGGGUUCGUGUCACUCACACCUCAAAAAAGUAUCAUGGGCAGGUCUACAUCCCUGAGAUCAACUAUGCAUUAAUGAUCUUAUGUGUAGCUGUGACAGCUAUUUUCCAAACUACAGACAAGAUCGGCAAUGCAUAUGGUAUUGCUGUCGUCUUUGUGAUGUUCAUAACAACACUUCUAGUCACACUGGUAAUGGCCAUGAUAUGGAAGACAAGUCUGCUGUGGAUUGCACUCUUUCCAAUAAUAUUUGGCAGCGCAGAGCUCCUGUACUUAUCCUCAGCAUUCUACAAAUUUGUAGAAGGUGGCUACUUGCCACUAGGUUUUGCAGCAAUUUUGAUGCUUAUAAUGGGCACAUGGCACUAUGUUCAUGUUCAUCGGUACAAAUACGAGCUCAAGAACAAAGUGUCAAACAACUAUGUGGCCGAGUUGGCAACAAGGCGAAAUCUUGCUAGGCUGCCAGGAAUAGGCGUUCUGUACUCUGAGCUUGUGCAAGGAAUCCCACCCAUACUGCCCCAUUUGGUAGAAAAAGUACCUUCCAUCCAUUCAGUUCUUGUGAUUAUCUCAAUAAAGUUCUUACCAAUCAGCAAUAUAGAAACAAAUGAGAGGUUCCUCUUCCGAUACGUGGAGCCAAGAGAAUACAGGGUAUUCCGAUGUGUGGUGCGCUAUGGUUACAACAAUAAAGUAGAAGAUCCAAGAGAGUUCGAGAACUUGCUUAUUGGGAACUUGAAGCAAUUCAUCCAUCAAGAAUCACUCUACAGCGAAAGUAGUCAUUCCCUUGAAGGAGAAGAUAAUGCAUUCGAAGAAUCAGGAGAUGCAAUGGAGCCUUCUGUUGAAGUUCAAGACGCAAGGUUGCCGAAAAGGUUUUUAGAUGGAAUCACUGCUAGCCCAGUGAACGGGUUAAUGGAUGAGAUAGAGUUUAUUCAGAGAGGGAUGGAUGAUGGUGUUGUCCAUCUGCUGGGAGAAACUAACGUGGUGGCGGAGCAAGAUGCCGGUUUGGUGAAGAAAAUAAUAGUUGACUACGCCUACAAUUUCAUGAGGAAGAACUUCAGGCAACCAGAGAAGAUCACAUGUGUUCCACAUAACAGGCUGCUGCGGGUGGGAAUGACAUAUGAGAUCUAG
This 2364-nucleotide ribosomal RNA is filed under the name Triticum aestivum (bread wheat). Its description in RNAcentral is "partial small subunit ribosomal RNA". Lineage: Eukaryota; Viridiplantae; Streptophyta; Magnoliopsida; Poales; Poaceae. The record is from RNAcentral.